CGCAUCUGUGCAUGCAGCAUAUCAAUAAGCGGAGGAAAAGCGUAACAUGUAUACCUACGCUUAGGAUGUUGACACACGCGCGUGCUCGAUGAUAGUCUAUACAUGACUCUGUGCAUAUCAAUAAGCGGAGGAAAAGAGGGCUAAUACCUACGCUUAGGAUGUUGACACACGCGCGUGCUCGACUCUAUACAUGACUCUGUGCAUAUCAAUAAGCGGAGGAAAAGAAACUAACAAGGAUUCCCUUAGUAACGGCGAGUGAAGCGGGAAGAGCUCAAAUUUGAAAUCUUCAAGGUUUUACCUUGACGAAUUGUAGUUUAAAGAAGUGUUUUCUGUUGAAGUUUUGGUAAAAGUUCUUUGGAAUAGGACAUCAUAGAGGGUGAGAAUCCCGUAUUUGACCAUUAUUUUCAGCUGUGUGAUACACUUUCAAAGAGUCGGAUUGUUUGGGAAUGCAGUCCAAAAUGGGUGGUAAAUUUCAUCUAAAGCUAAAUAUUGGCGAGAGACCGAUAGCGAACAAGUACCGUGAGGGAAAGAUGAAAAGAACUUUGAAAAGAGAGUUAAACAGUACGUGAAAUUGUCAAAAGGGAAGCGUUUGACACCAGUGUUGUUUUCUCGAAAAUCAAUUAAAAAGAGUUUGAUUUUGUUGUGUAUUGACCUUAACAGCUUGCAUUUCAAUUUUCUUGCUUUUUUUAAUGCACUUUUCGUUUAACAAGUCAACAUCAGUUUCUUUUGUCGUAAAAAGGUCAUUGGAAGGUGGCUUUCUUUUCGGAGAAAGUGUUUAUAGCCUUUGACUCCUGCAAUCGGAGAGACUGAGGUCUGCAGCGUAGAUCCUUCGGGGUUAGAUACAUUUGUGCUAAGUUAUAGCUUUUUAUAGACAACUUGUUGACUAUGAUUAGUCUUGUAGCUUACUCGCUUAUGCUAUUUUACCUACGCUUAGGAUGUUGACACACGCGCGUGCUCG
Molecule: ribosomal RNA, 958 nt
Filed under: uncultured Neocallimastigales
Lineage: Eukaryota; Fungi; Neocallimastigomycota; Neocallimastigomycetes; Neocallimastigales
Description: partial large subunit ribosomal RNA
Rfam family: Eukaryotic large subunit ribosomal RNA (bases 163-958)
Source: RNAcentral